UCGUGAUUCUUUGAUAUUUGAACUAAAAUACAGACUACUACAGUCGUACACAGUUCUAUUCAUACGUUUUAGUAUAAAAUCACCAUGCGAAAGUGUAUUCUUUUUAGUAAAACAUCCAAAGUAUCGCCUCGUCACAUUGCGUUAAUUUUCAUUUUUUUCCAAAAAAUCAAAAUAGAAGGAAAUAAUGGCUAAACAUCUUCAAAUUAAAUGAUUAUCCCAAUUUCUAUCUGGCAUAGUAUCUGCGGUAAUCAUUUCACAAUUAGUGAUUGUAAACAAUGCUCUCAAAACUUAAUCCAAACCAUUUGUCUGAUAAGAGAAGUUAAAUAAAUUUUAGUAACUUACAGCGUCAUUGGUACUACUCUGAGCACGAAUAGUAAAUCGCAUUUAAGAGAAAAUUGUGUUUUGAAUGAAGGUAUCGGUCGUGCUACGCUGUGCCGCUGCGAUGGUAGACAACGGUGUUGUCUCCAGUAAUCAAUGAAAUAGAAGGAAACAAUGGCUAAAAAUCUUUGAAUUAAAUGAUUAUACCAAUGUCUACCUGGCAAAGAUUCUGCGGUAAUCAUUUCACAAUUAAUGAUUGUGAACAAUGCUUAGUAAGCUAGUAAACAUGGCCAGAGGCUGUCUCAAAACAUAAUCCAAACCACUUAUCUGGGAUAGAGAAGUAAAAUACAUUUUAGUAAUUUACAGCAACAUUGGUACUACUUUGAGCACGAUUAGUAAAUCGUAUCUAAGAGAUAAAAUUCAUUUAACAUAAUUCAUGAAUUAGGUAGGUAUUUGUAUAUUUUGAAAAUUAUAUUUCUCCAACGAUGGGUUUGAAGAAAAUGAACAGACAAAUAAAGGAUUUGGAGACGUUAAAGUUGAAGAAUUUGAUUCAUCCCGAAAAGCCUUAGAUACUUAAUAAUGUCUAAUUCUCAUACACUUAUUUCAUACAGUAGAUUAUACUUAUAGUUUUCAAAACUGAAAUAUAUGAUGUACCACAUACAAGAAACUAGGAAUUCGAGCCAAUGUAUUGACAAUUUUUCAAACGUUGACUUUCUUGAAGAUAAUUCUGCCGACUGAGAUUAAGCCGUACAAUAUUGGAGCGAAUUUUGAAAUUUAAAGGCCAUACAAUUUUGCUGCUCAAGAAUCUAAUUUCAAUAACACAGAGUGCCUCAACAUAUUUAAAUUGCAAAGAAACACAUAACUAGUUUGGACUUUAGUAGCUUUUCUGAAAGGAAAUUGAAUAUAGUUGGAUAACAGAAUUGAAACACAUAUUUUGCUUGUGUCUUGUUCUGAACAAUUGGAUCAAAAGCCACAUUCAGCUGUUAUCACACAUAUCAUUUGUGAUAUCGUAAUCAUUGUACAAGAUUUUUGGACAAACCUGGCUUCACCUGUCAGAAUGUUGCCAAAGCUGUGUGGUGAGCUGUGAAAAGAUAUAUUAUAUUGAAGAUGUUGCUGAUAGGCUGUUAAAAACUUUGAGGUGUCCUACAAAGUUUACUGGUCAUCAAACCUGUUCCCAUUCAUGGAAUUUACUUCUUUGGAAGAGCAAACACCAAUUACCUUCAGUUGCACUGUGAAUCAUAAUUCCUCACUGGUGAUCUGAUUGUUGAGCAUAGGCGGUCCCCAGAUUUUACUUCAGGUACAGCAUAGAUGGCUAAUUUCUAGAGAAGUAAAAUACAUUUUAGUAAUUCACAGAAACAUUGGUACUACUCUGAGCACGACUAGCAAAUUAUAUCUAAGAGAAAAUUGUGUUUCUCUAACGAUGAGUUAGAAGAAAAUGAACAGACAAAUAAAGAAUUUGGUAUCGCCAACCACAGCAAGAGGACCGUAGAUAUAUACUCCCUGUAUUAUGGUGAUAACCUAACUUAACCACAACAACAUAAUAUUAUUUUAUUGUUCACCGACUUUUGAAUCAUUUGAUUAGGUAUUUAAAAUUUGAACAGAAAUACAGACUACAUUCGUAUAGAGUUGUAUUUAUAUGUCUUAGGACAAAAUCUUCAUUCAUAAGUGUAUUCUUUUUAGUAAAACAUCCAAAAUAUCGCCUUGCCACAUUACCUUAAUUUUCAUUUUCAUUUUUAGUUCUACUGAUUAUAUAAGAAGACUGAGCGAACACCAAUUACCUUCAGUUGCACUC
Molecule: long non-coding RNA, 2110 nt
Organism: Metopolophium dirhodum (rose-grain aphid)
Lineage: Eukaryota; Metazoa; Arthropoda; Insecta; Hemiptera; Aphididae
Exons: 9
Source: RefSeq, a predicted model, not a curated record